AAUCAACGCUGGCGGCGUGCCUAACACAUGCAAGUCGAACGAGAAAGGGGAGCAAUCCCUGAGUACAGUGGCGACCGGGUGAGUAACACGUGACUACCUACCCUUGAGUGGGGGAUAACCUCGGGAAACCGAGGCUAAUACCGCAUAAUAUCGCAAGAUCAAAGGAGCAAUCCGCUCUUGGAGGGGGUCGCGGCUGAUUAGCUAGUUGGUAGGGUAAUGGCCUACCAAGGCGAAGANCGGUAUCCGGCCUGAGAGGGCGCACGGACACACUGGAACUGAAACACGGUCCAGACUCCUACGGGAGGCAGCAGUGGGGAAUUUUGCGCAAUGGGGGAAACCCUGACGCAGCAACGCCGCGUGGAGGAUGAAGCUCCUUGGAGUGUAAACUCCUUUCGACCGGGACGAUAAUGACGGUACCGGUGGAAGAAGCACCGGCUAACUCUGUGCCAGCAGCCGCAGUAAC
RNAcentral lists this ribosomal RNA (463 nucleotides) under uncultured bacterium. RNAcentral's name for it is "bacterial SSU rRNA". It matches the Rfam family "Bacterial small subunit ribosomal RNA", at positions 32 to 524 of the family's 1533-position model. The record is from RNAcentral.